GCAAAAAUACACUGCAUUAGGCGAAAAUCAAAAUCUGCUCCAACGAACACUUACUUUCUUUAUUCACCUCUCUCUCAGCUAACAGAGGAGGAGAUUUAAUCUUCAAGGACCAAACAAAGGAAAACAGACUGACGGAACAGUUCAACUUUGUACACUCAUUCACUAUCAUGUGGAUGCAAAAACUAAACACUCUGUCUCCAUGCAGGGAAGGCCAGUUGAAAGACAGCAAGUUCCCAGUCUGGGAAACUUCAGCUGACAAAUGUUUUUCAGUUAGUUUGUAUGCUCUCUGCAGCUGCACGGAAAAAAAAAAAUCUUGACUAUGAUGGGUUGUUCAUCAUAGUCAAAUUCACUUUCACUGCUUUUGUCAGAAACCCGUUAACCAGAAAUCUGCUGGAGAUGUCUCAGUACAGCAGUCCCACCCAUGCUACGAACCUCCCGGGAAACCCCAUUUUUAGCAGCACCUGGAAGAGUGCUUCCAGAUGCACAUCGAAAGCUUUCUCAAAAUCUCAAUUUAGGACUAUCAGCCGAAUGUUUCUGUCUUUCACAAAACAGAUGGUGUCUCGGAUCAGUACGAGGCUGUCCGUGAUCUUCCUCCCCGGCACCGCGCAGGCUUGAUCGGGGUGGAUUAGAUCCCCCAACACUCUGUGCAUCCUGGCUACUAAAGGUUUACUAAAAAGUUUACAAUCCACGUUUAAAAGGGUGAUUGGGCCGCCAGUUUUUAAGAUCUGUCUUGUAUUUAUAUAAAAGCGUCACUAUUCCUGUCAGGAUCCAGGGUUGUUAGGUUCUCGCUGUAGGGGUUUUGGGUGCAUGCACCACCUUUGUUUCCUCACCAGAUGGCACCAUCAGUUUGACGGAGGGCGUGGAUGACGUCAUCUCCCACACCGGCCUCUGAUUAGCUCAUCAGCGACAGGUUUUGAAGAGCGGUCUACCAGUCCUUCCGCGCCUGAGUGUUGCCCAGUUUUGUCUCCCCUUGGAUUUCCUCGACUGGAAGACGCGCCGUUUCUCGCUCCUCGCGGAUCCCGAGCCUACCUGUCUGCCCUCCAGCGCGCACACGCCCCACCCAAACCCCCAGAGAGACCGGACCCUGGACCCAGCAGCCACCCGCCGCUAGCUUUUCCCUGCUCGACUCAAUGAGCCGAUCGCUUCCUGAUCCUUCCCUUCCCGUGGACCAGACCAGAGUUUUCAUUCCCUGCCACUGUGUUUCGCUUCUUUCUCAAAUAAAUUCACUACAUUUUCA
Long non-coding RNA from Poeciliopsis prolifica (blackstripe livebearer), 1237 nucleotides. RefSeq lists it as uncharacterized. NCBI's taxonomy places the organism in Eukaryota, Metazoa, Chordata, Actinopteri, Cyprinodontiformes, Poeciliidae. The record is from RefSeq and is a predicted model, not a curated record. The transcript has 2 exons.